GGUUAAGCGACUAAGCGUACACGGUGGAUGCCCUGGCAGUCAGAGGCGAUGAAGGACGUGCUAAUCUGCGAUAAGCGUCGGUAAGGUGAUAUGAACCGUUAUAACCGGCGAUUUCCGAAUGGGGAAACCCAGUGUGAUUCGUCACACUAUCAUUAACUGAAUCCAUAGGUUAAUGAGGCGAACCGGGGGAACUGAAACAUCUAAGUACCCCGAGGAAAAGAAAUCAACCGAGAUUCCCCCAGUAGCGGCGAGCGAACGGGGAGCAGCCCAGAGCCUGAAUCAGUGUGUGUGUUAGUGGAAGCGUCUGGAAAGGCGCGCGAUACAGGGUGACAGCCCCGUACACAAAAAUGCACAUAUUGUGAGCUCGAUGAGUAGGGCGGGACACGUGGUAUCCUGUCUGAAUAUGGGGGGACCAUCCUCCAAGGCUAAAUACUCCUGACUGACCGAUAGUGAACCAGUACCGUGAGGGAAAGGCGAAAAGAACCCCGGCGAGGGGAGUGAAAAAGAACCUGAAACCGUGUACGUACAAGCAGUGGGAGCACGCUUAGGCGUGUGACUGCGUACCUUUUGUAUAAUGGGUCAGCGACUUAUAUUCUGUAGCAAGGUUAACCGAAUAGGGGAGCCGAAGGGAAACCGAGUCUUAACUGGGCGUUAAGUUGCAGGGUAUAGACCCGAAACCCGGUGAUCUAGCCAUGGGCAGGUUGAAGGUUGGGUAACACUAACUGGAGGACCGAACCGACUAAUGUUGAAAAAUUAGCGGAUGACUUGUGGCUGGGGGUGAAAGGCCAAUCAAACCGGGAGAUAGCUGGUUCUCCCCGAAAGCUAUUUAGGUAGCGCCUCGUGAAUUCAUCUCCGGGGGUAGAGCACUGUUUCGGCAAGGGGGUCAUCCCGACUUACCAACCCGAUGCAAACUGCGAAUACCGGAGAAUGUUAUCACGGGAGACACACGGCGGGUGCUAACGUCCGUCGUGAAGAGGGAAACAACCCAGACCGCCAGCUAAGGUCCCAAAGUCAUGGUUAAGUGGGAAACGAUGUGGGAAGGCCCAGACAGCCAGGAUGUUGGCUUAGAAGCAGCCAUCAUUUAAAGAAAGCGUAAUAGCUCACUGGUCGAGUCGGCCUGCGCGGAAGAUGUAACGGGGCUAAACCAUGCACCGAAGCUGCGGCAGCGACGCUUAUGCGUUGUUGGGUAGGGGAGCGUUCUGUAAGCCUGUGAAGGUGUGCUGUGAGGCAUGCUGGAGGUAUCAGAAGUGCGAAUGCUGACAUAAGUAACGAUAAAGCGGGUGAAAAGCCCGCUCGCCGGAAGACCAAGGGUUCCUGUCCAACGUUAAUCGGGGCAGGGUGAGUCGACCCCUAAGGCGAGGCCGAAAGGCGUAGUCGAUGGGAAACAGGUUAAUAUUCCUGUACUUGGUGUUACUGCGAAGGGGGGACGGAGAAGGCUAUGUUGGCCGGGCGACGGUUGUCCCGGUUUAAGCGUGUAGGCUGGUUUUCCAGGCAAAUCCGGAAAAUCAAGGCUGAGGCGUGAUGACGAGGCACUACGGUGCUGAAGCAACAAAUGCCCUGCUUCCAGGAAAAGCCUCUAAGCAUCAGGUAACAUCAAAUCGUACCCCAAACCGACACAGGUGGUCAGGUAGAGAAUACCAAGGCGCUUGAGAGAACUCGGGUGAAGGAACUAGGCAAAAUGGUGCCGUAACUUCGGGAGAAGGCACGCUGAUAUGUAGGUGAAGCGACUUGCUCGUGGAGCUGAAAUCAGUCGAAGAUACCAGCUGGCUGCAACUGUUUAUUAAAAACACAGCACUGUGCAAACACGAAAGUGGACGUAUACGGUGUGACGCCUGCCCGGUGCCGGAAGGUUAAUUGAUGGGGUCAGCGCAAGCGAAGCUCUUGAUCGAAGCCCCGGUAAACGGCGGCCGUAACUAUAACGGUCCUAAGGUAGCGAAAUUCCUUGUCGGGUAAGUUCCGACCUGCACGAAUGGCGUAAUGAUGGCCAGGCUGUCUCCACCCGAGACUCAGUGAAAUUGAACUCGCUGUGAAGAUGCAGUGUACCCGCGGCAAGACGGAAAGACCCCGUGAACCUUUACUAUAGCUUGACACUGAACAUUGAGCCUUGAUGUGUAGGAUAGGUGGGAGGCUUUGAAGUGUGGACGCCAGUCUGCAUGGAGCCGACCUUGAAAUACCACCCUUUAAUGUUUGAUGUUCUAACGUUGACCCGUAAUCCGGGUUGCGGACAGUGUCUGGUGGGUAGUUUGACUGGGGCGGUCUCCUCCUAAAGAGUAACGGAGGAGCACGAAGGUUGGCUAAUCCUGGUCGGACAUCAGGAGGUUAGUGCAAUGGCAUAAGCCAGCUUGACUGCGAGCGUGACGGCGCGAGCAGGUGCGAAAGCAGGUCAUAGUGAUCCGGUGGUUCUGAAUGGAAGGGCCAUCGCUCAACGGAUAAAAGGUACUCCGGGGAUAACAGGCUGAUACCGCCCAAGAGUUCAUAUCGACGGCGGUGUUUGGCACCUCGAUGUCGGCUCAUCACAUCCUGGGGCUGAAGUAGGUCCCAAGGGUAUGGCUGUUCGCCAUUUAAAGUGGUACGCGAGCUGGGUUUAGAACGUCGUGAGACAGUUCGGUCCCUAUCUGCCGUGGGCGCUGGAGAACUGAGGGGGGCUGCUCCUAGUACGAGAGGACCGGAGUGGACGCAUCACUGGUGUUCGGGUUGUCAUGCCAAUGGCACUGCCCGGUAGCUAAAUGCGGAAGAGAUAAGUGCUGAAAGCAUCUAAGCACGAAACUUGCCCCGAGAUGAGUUCUCCCUGACUCCUUGAGAGUCCUGAAGGAACGUUGAAGACGACGACGUUGAUAGGCCGGGUGUGUAAGCGCAGCGAUGCGUUGAGCUAACCGGUACUAAUGAACCGUGAGGCUUAACCUU
Molecule: ribosomal RNA, 2904 nt
Filed under: Escherichia coli
Lineage: Bacteria; Pseudomonadati; Pseudomonadota; Gammaproteobacteria; Enterobacterales; Enterobacteriaceae
Description: 23S ribosomal RNA
Rfam family: Bacterial large subunit ribosomal RNA
Source: RNAcentral